GACGAACGCUGGCGGCGUGCUUAACACAUGCAAGUCGAACGGUGACGGAGGAGCUUGCUCCUCCUGAUCAGUGGCGAACGGGUGAGUAACACGUGAGCAAUCUGUCCCUGACUCUGGGAUAACUGCGGGAAACUGUAGCUAAUACCGGAUACGACGCGCGAAGGCAUCUUCUGCGCGUGGAAAGAAUUUCGAUCAGGGAUGAGCUCGCGGCCUAUCAGCUUGUUGGUGAGGUAAUGGCUCACCAAGGCGACGACGGGUAGCCGGCCUGAGAGGGUGACCGGCCACACUGGGACUGAGACACGGCCCAGACUCCUACGGGAGGCAGCAGUGGGGAAUAUUGCACAAUGGGCGCAAGCCUGAUGCAGCAACGCCGCGUGAGGGACGACGGCCUUCGGGUUGUAAACCUCUUUUGGCAGGGAAGAAGCGAAAGUGACGGUACCUGCAGAAAAAGCACCGGCUAACUACGUG
This 468-nucleotide ribosomal RNA is filed under the name uncultured bacterium. RNAcentral describes it as "partial 16S ribosomal RNA". It matches the Rfam family "Bacterial small subunit ribosomal RNA", at positions 28 to 507 of the family's 1533-position model. The record is from RNAcentral.